CCUACGGGAGGCAGCAGUGAGGAAUAUUGGACAAUGGGCGGGAGCCUGAUCCAGCCAUGCCGCGUGCAGGAAGACGGUCCUAUGGAUUGUAAACUGCUUUUGUACGGGAAGAACAAGGGGCACGUGUGCCCCUCUGACGGUACCGUAAGAAUAAGGAUCGGCUAACUCCGUGCCAGCAGCCGCGGUAAUACGGAGGAUCCGAGCGUUAUCCGGAAUCAUUGGGUUUAAAGGGUCCGUAGGCGGGCCAUUAAGUCAGGGGUGAAAGUCUGCGGCUCAACCGUAGAAUUGCCCUUGAUACUGGUGGUCUUGAGUUAUGGUGAAGUAACUAGAAUAUGUAGUGUAGCGGUGAAAUGCAUAGAUAUUACAUAGAAUACCGAUUGCGAAGGCAGGUUACUAACCAUAUACUGACGCUGAUGGACGAAAGCGUGGGGAGCGAACAG
Molecule: ribosomal RNA, 440 nt
Filed under: uncultured bacterium
Lineage: Bacteria
Description: bacterial SSU rRNA
Rfam family: Bacterial small subunit ribosomal RNA
Source: RNAcentral